RNAcentral lists this long non-coding RNA (637 nucleotides) under Zostera marina. Its description in RNAcentral is "long non-coding RNA (ZMAR_LNC003498)". The record is from RNAcentral. Lineage: Eukaryota; Viridiplantae; Streptophyta; Magnoliopsida; Alismatales; Zosteraceae.
AACCAUAACCAGUCCCGUACUCGCCCCGGUCGAGAAUAGGGACAACAUGGAAACCGUUGCGAACGAGAACGGACCACUGGCGCCAAGAGCCAUCCAUCUCCCGAUAAAAGGAUGGGGCGCUUUUCUCCUCAAGAGGAGAAGGAAAGGGGUACUUCUCCUCCGUCUCAGGAGGGUAACUUAAAGGGGAGUCCUCUAAAGUAUGAACGUUCUGACUACAGACUUCGGGAGGAAGUUGAGCAGAACCGUCUGUAGCCACGGAUGGCUCCUCCACAAUAGGAACCUCCUCCAGAAUAGUAGCCAAAAUGGUUGUGGGAGGAGGAGUCCUAGCAGUAGAAGGAGGGGUGCCUCCAAUUUCUACAUCCCGCUCAGGAGAAGAGGAGCUGCAGGAGGAAGAACUCGAGCUCCCCGAACUGGAUGUAGAAGACCCCGAACUAGAACCUGCGGGGGAAGAAUGGGAAGAACCUAAAAAUAAAAAACAAAUAAAAGGUAAGUUACGAAAGAAAAAAUAAUAAUAACUUACUAGGUACAGGCUUGCGCGUACGACGAGAAAGAGUUUUUCGCUUACUUCCAACAGGAGAGGAGGAAGGCGAAUCAACUCUAGGCUCGACCACGGCAGGAGUAGUCUGAACAACGGCAG